AGUGAACGCUGGCGGCAGGCCUAACACAUGCAAGUCGAGCGGCAGCGCGGUGACAACCCUGGCGGCCAGCGGCGGACGGGUGAGGAAUUCGUCGGAAUCUGCCCUUGUGUGUGGGAUAACGUAGGGAAACUGACGCUAAUACCGCAUACCUGCUACGGGCGAACGUGGGGGACCGCAAGGCCUCCCGCAGAUGGAUGAGUCGACGACCGAUUAGAUAGUUGGUGGGGUAAAGGCUCACCGAGGCGCCGAUCGGUAGCUGGCCCGAGAGGCUGAUCAGCCACACUGGGACUGAGACACGGCCCAGACUCCUACGGGAGGCAGCAGUGGGGAAUAUUGGACAAUGGGCGCAAGCCUGAUCCAGCCAUACCGCGUGUGUGAAGAAGGCCUUCGGGUUGUAAAGCACUUUUGUCCGGAAAGAAAUACAUGGAGCUAAUACCUUCGGGGGAUGACGGUACCGGAAGAAUAAGCACCGGCUAACUUCGUG
Molecule: ribosomal RNA, 484 nt
Filed under: uncultured bacterium
Lineage: Bacteria
Description: partial 16S ribosomal RNA
Rfam family: Bacterial small subunit ribosomal RNA
Source: RNAcentral